Molecule: transfer RNA, 4830 nt
Filed under: Ovis aries (sheep)
Lineage: Eukaryota; Metazoa; Chordata; Mammalia; Artiodactyla; Bovidae
Description: lncRNA (ENSOARG00000026415.1)
Source: RNAcentral
AUGGGUGUUCACCGUGCACGAGACCCUGUGCAUCCCCACUUCCAUGCUCGCCCUCCAAACCCCAGGACACCCCUGGGGGACUGCUUAAGAAGAGUGGGAAGUUGGGUGUUUUCAGCAAACGCUCUGGCUCUGAGCACAGGGAGCUGUUUGCGUGUCUUUGCUGCUGUGGAUGCUAGACGCUUAUGGUCAGAAAGCAGAAGCCUCUUGCCAGUUCCCUGUGGUCUGGUCCUUUCCUCUCCCUCCUCCCAGCUCCUCUGUUCAUCCAGCCCCUCACUGGGACUCCCCUCCCACCUUCUCCCCAGGGAUCAACAAUCUGUAGUACAGACAGCCCCCUCCCUGCCCAAGGCCCCCCCAGCCUGGGGGUCACCGUUGUCUGUGAACUUGUCUGUGACCCCUGCUCUCUCACGAGACACACCAUGGGACUGGAGGGUUCUGCUGCCUGAAGGGUGGGGCAUCCAGCAGAACAGAGUUGUAUGAGUUCUUUGUCCCUUGAAUAGAUUGAAGGUUAACCAGAUGGACUGUAGCCCGACAGGCUCCUCUGCCCUUGGAAUUCUCCAGGUGAGAAUACUGGAGUGGGUUGCCUUUACCUUCUCCAGGGAAUCUUCCCAACCCAGGGAUUGAACCCAGAUCUUCUGCACUGCAGGCAGAUUCUUUACCAUCUGAGUCACCUGGGAAGCUGCUCUUUUCAGAUACAUGGUUUACAAACAUUUCUCCCACGCGGUGGGUGCUGUUUCAUUUGGCUAACUGCUCCCUUUGCUGGGCAGAGCUUUUCAGUUUGAUGUAGCCCUUUUGUAUUUUCACUUUUGUUGUCCUGUGUGGUGUCAUGUCCAGAAAUCAUUGCCGAGACCCAUUUCCCCUAUGCUUUCCCUAUGUUUUCUUCUACAGUUUUGUGACUUCACGUCUUACAUUUAAGUCUUUAAUCCGUCUUGAGUUGAUUUUGCAUAUAGUGUAAGAUAAGGAUCUGACUUCAUUUCGCUUGUGGAUAUCCAGUUUUCCCAACAUCAUUUAAUGAAGAGGCUAUUCCUUCCCCAUUGUGUGUUCUUUCUACCCUUUUCAUAGGUUAGUUGACACGUAUACACAGAUAUAUAUCCAUACACACACUAUUUCUGAACUCUCUGCUCUGUUCCAUUGAUCUAUGUGUCUGUUUUUAUGCCAGUGUCAUACUGUUUUGAUUACUAUAACUUGUAAUAUUAUAUGCAGAACACAUCAUGAGAAACGCUGGGCUGGAAGAAGCACAAGCUGGAAUCAAGAUUGCCGGGAGAAAUAUCAAUCACCUCAGAUAUGCAGAUGACACCACCCGUAUGGCAGAAAGAGGAACUAAAAAGCCUCUUGAUGAAAGUGAAAGAGGAGAGUGAAAAAGUUGGCUUCAAGCUCAACAUUCAGAAAAUGAAGAUCAUGGCAUCUGGUCCCAUCACUUCAUGGGAAAUAGAUGGGGAAACAGUGGAAAUCCUACCAGUCCAUUCUAAAGGAGAUCAGUCCUGGGGGUUCUUUGGAAGGAAUGAUGCUGAAGCUGAAGCUCCAAUUCUUUGGCCACCUCAUGUGAAGAGUUGACUCAUUGGGAAAGACUCUGAUGCUGGGAGGGAUUGGGGGCAGGAGGAGAAGGGGACGACCGAGGAUGAGAUGGCUGGAUGGCAUCACGGACUCGAUGGACAUGAGUUUGAGUGGACUCAGGGAGUUGGUGAUGGACAGUGAGGCCUGGCAUGCUGCAGUUCAUGGGGUCGCGAAGAGUUGGACACGACUGAGCGACUGAACUGAACUGAACUGAACUGAGCGGGAACGUGAUUAACAAUUUAGAAUAACUGCAUACAGUGUGGGGUGGGGGGCAGUCAAGCAGAGCGACGUGGUAGCUGGAAGUAUAUACGUGUAUUUUUUUUCAUCCACCCAGUUAGUCUAUGUCAUUUGGUUGGUGCAUUUAAUCCAUUUACAUUUAAUUAUCGAUAUGUAUGAUCCUGUCACUGUUUUCCUAAUUGUUUGGGGUUCAUUUUCUGUAGGUCUUUUCCUUCUCUUGUGUUUUCUGUCUAGAGGAGUUCCUUUAGCAUUUGUUGUAAAGCUGGUUGGGUGGUGCUGAAUUCUCUUAACUUUUGUCUGGAAAGCUCUUGAUUUCUCCAUCAAAUCUGAAGGAGAGUCUUGCUGGGUGGAGUAUUCUUGGUAGUAGGCUGUUCCUUUUCAUUACUUUAAAUAUAUCAUGCCAUUUCCUUCUAGCUUAUAGAUUUUCUGUUGAGAAAUCAGCUGAUAGUCUGAUGGGAGUUCCCUUGUAUGCUAUUUGUCAUUUUUCCCUUGUUGCUUUUAAUAUUUUAUCUGUCUUUAAAUUUUGUCAGUUUGAUUACUAUGUUCUCAGCGUGUUGCUCAUUGGGUUUAUCCUUCCUGGGACUCUGCGUGCUUCCUGGACUUGUUUGACUAUUUCCUGUCCCAUGUUCAGGAAGUUUUCAGCUAUUAUCCCUUCAAAUAUACUCUCAGGUCCUCUCUCUCUCUCUCUCUCUCUCUGCUGUCCGGGACCCCCAUAAUGUGAAUGUUGGUGCACUUAAUGUUGUCCCAGAGGUCUCUUAGGCUGCCUUCAUUUCAUUAUUUAUUUUUUCUAUAUUGUGUUCCGUGGCAGUGAUUUCCACCAUUCUGUCCUCCAGGGCAUUCUUCUGUCCUUCUGCCUCAGUUACUCUGCUGCUGACCCUUCUAGUGUGUUAUUUAUCUGUUUGUUCUUUAGUUUUCUAGGCCUUUGGUAAACAUUUCUUGCAUCUCCUCAAUCUUUACCUCCAUUCUUUCCCCCGAGAUCCUGGAUCAUCUUCACUAUCAUUAUUCUGAGUGUUUUUUUUUUCUGGAAGGUUGCCUGUCAUCACUUCCUUUAGUUGUUUUUCUGGGGUUUUAUCUUGUCCCUUUCUCUGGGACAUAACUUUCUGCUUUUUUCAUCCCGAUUAACUUUUUGUAAAAUGGUUUUUGUUUUAGCCGCUGUGAGACUGUGCUUCUUCUUGCUGCUUCUGUUUGCCCUCUGACAGAUGAGGCUAAGAGGCUUGUGUAAACUUCUUGAUGGGGUGGACUGGUGAUGGGAAAACCUGGGUCUUGCUCUGGUGGGCAGGGCCUUGCUCAGCAGAGCUUUAAUCCAAUUAUCUGCUGACGGGCGAGAUUGCACUUCCUCCCUGUAGUUGUUUGGCCUGAGGUGGCCCAGUCCUAGCAUCUACAGGCUCUAUGGUAGGGUUAAUGGCAAACUCCAAGAGGGUUGACACCAAGGGGGACCUUCCAGUGCCCUCAUUCCUGGGGUGAGCCCUCGUCCACUCACACCUCCAGAGGAGGCCUCCAACACUGGCAGGCAGUUCUGGUUCGGUCUCCUGUGGGGUCGCUGCUCCUCUCCUCUGGGUCUUGGUGUGUGCAAAGUUUUGUUUGUGCCCUUCAGGACCAGAGUCUCUGUUUCUCUCAGUCCUCUGGAAGCCUAAUCAAGUUUUUUGGGCUCUCAAGGCCAUUCCCUGGGGAGUCCCAGUCCCUUUGUUGGAUCCCCAGGCUGAAAGCCUGAUGUGGGUUUCAGAACCUUCACAGUAGUGUGAGUAUUUCUUUAGAAUUAUUGUUCUCCAGUCUGUGGGUUACUCACCCAGAGGGUAUGGGAUUUGAUUCUAUCAUGAUUGCACCCAUCCUACUAGCUCUCCGUGGCUUCUUCUUUGUCUUUGAAUGUGGGGUAUCUUCUUUUCCAUCCUACCAGCUCUCCGCAGCUUCUUCUUUGUCUUUGAACGUGGGGUAUCUUCUUUUCCAUCCUACUAGCUCUCUGCGGCUUCUUCUUUGUCUUUGAACGUGGGGUAUCUUCUUUUUUUGGUGGGUUCUGGCAUCCUCCUGUCAAUGGCUGUUCAACAGCUGGUUGCAAUGUUGGUGCUCUUGCAGGAGGAGAUGGGCGUACGUCCUUUGACUCCACUGUCUUGAACUGGAAGCUCCUGUGUGUUGACUUUGUAUGCUGCAGCUUUGCUGAAUUCAAUUAUUUUUUCUAACAUUUUCUUUUUUUGGGGGGUGUAGAAUCUUUAGGGUUUUCUACAUUUAAGAUCAUGGCAUCUGUGAUGAAAGAUAAUUUUAUUUCUUCCUUUCAAAUUUGGGUGCCUUCUAUUUCUUUUCUUUGCCUAAUUACUUUGGCUAGCACUUCAUAUACCAUAUUAAAUGGAUGUAAGAUUCUUUAUUGACAGUUUUUCCUCCCGUUACUUUGAAUUUCCAUCUCACUGCCUCCUGGCCUCUAUUGUUUCUAGUGAGAAGUUAGUUGAUAACCUGACUGAGGUUUCCUUGUAUGUGGCACAUUCUUUUCUCUUGCUGUUUUCAACAUUUUCUCCUUACCUUUCAACAUUUUGACCAUAAGGUAUCUGAGUGCAUAUCUCUUCGUGCUUACCCUUCUUACACUUCAUCAGGCUUCUUGGAUGUGUAGAUUAAUAUUUUUCAUCAAAUUGGGGGAUCUUCAGCCAUUGCUUUUUUGAACAUUUUUUUCUGUACAUUUCUCUUUCUCCUCUCCUUCGAAUGUUCUUACUGGUAUAUGUAGGUAUGUUUAAUGGUUUCCCAUAUGACUCUGAACCCACUCCAGUUUUCUUGCCUGGAAAAUCUCAUGGACAGUGGAGCCUGGUGGGCUGCAGUCCACGGGGUCACAAAAGAUUCAGACACUACUUAGUGACUAGACAACAAUGAUGUUACUCAGAGGUUCUGUUCAUUUUUCUUUGUUCUUUUUUCAUCUUUUGUUCUUCAGACUUUACAGUCUCUGUUGGUCUGCCUUCAAGUGCUUUGAUUGUUUCUUCUAUGAGCUCAGGUCUACUACUGACACCUUGUAGUGGAAUUUUAAUUCUGGUUGUACUUUUUUACUUGAGAAUUUCUGUGUUUUUA